Molecule: ribosomal RNA, 108 nt
Filed under: Cordylochernes scorpioides
Lineage: Eukaryota; Metazoa; Arthropoda; Arachnida; Pseudoscorpiones; Chernetidae
Source: RNAcentral
UUGCCACCUGAAAACACCAGUUCUCGUCCGAUCACCGAAGUUAAGCAAUGUCGGGCCCGGUCAGUACUUGGGAGGGUGACCACCUGGGAACACCGGGUGCUGUAGGCU